Molecule: ribosomal RNA, 406 nt
Filed under: uncultured bacterium
Lineage: Bacteria
Description: partial 16S ribosomal RNA
Rfam family: Bacterial small subunit ribosomal RNA
Source: RNAcentral
AUUGAACGCUGGCGGCAGGCCUAACACAUGCAAGUCGAACGAGUCGCGCACGGGAGAGUAAUGUCUGGGAAAUUCCUCGAUGGAGGGGAUAAACUUCUGGAACCGUUGGCUAAUCCCCCAUACCAUCGGUUUGCCCCAGAUGUGAUUAGCUAGUGGGUGGGGUAACGGCUAACCUAGGCGACGACCCCUAUCUGGUCUGAGAGGAUGACCAGCCACACUGGAACGGAGAAACGGGCCAGACUCCUACGGGAGGCAGCAGUGGGGAAUAUUGCACAAUGGGCGAAAGCCUGAUGCAGCCAUGCCGCGUGUAUGAAGAAGGCCUUCGGGUUGUAAAGUACGUUCAGCGAGGAGGCGGUAAUCGCAGAAGAAGUACCGGCUAACUCCGUGCCAGCAGCCGCGGUAAUAC